GCUCCGGUGGCCUAGUAGUUAGAGCGUCCGCCUCGGAUGCGGGAGGUUGCAGGUUCUAUCCCCUGUCGAGUCA
Non-coding RNA from Potamilus streckersoni, 73 nucleotides. Lineage: Eukaryota; Metazoa; Mollusca; Bivalvia; Unionida; Unionidae. The record is from the annotation of a GenBank genome assembly.